GUACCUAACAAGAAAGCACCGGCUAACUACGUGCCAGCAGCCGCGGUAAAACGUAGGGUGCAAGCGUUGCCCGGAAUUACUGGGUGUAAAGGGAGCGCAGGCGGGAAGACAAGUUGGAAGUGAAAACCAUGGGCUCAACCCAUGAAUUGCUUUCAAAACUGUUUUUCUUGAGUAGUGCAGAGGUAGAUGGAAUUCCCGGUGUAGCGGUGGAAUGCGUAGAUAUCGGGAGGAACACCAGUGGCGAAGGCGGUCUACUGGGCACCAACUGACGCUGAGGCUCGAAAGCAUGGGUAGCAAACAGGAUUAGAUACCCUGGUAGUCCAUGCCGUAAACGAUGAUUAUUAGGUGUUGGGGGAUUGACCCCCUCAGUGCCGCAGUUAACACAAUAAGUCAUCCACCUGGGGA
Molecule: ribosomal RNA, 405 nt
Filed under: uncultured bacterium
Lineage: Bacteria
Description: bacterial SSU rRNA
Rfam family: Bacterial small subunit ribosomal RNA
Source: RNAcentral